Molecule: long non-coding RNA, 1589 nt
Organism: Mya arenaria
Lineage: Eukaryota; Metazoa; Mollusca; Bivalvia; Myida; Myidae
Exons: 4
Source: RefSeq, a predicted model, not a curated record
UUUACUAACAGUUCGUAAGUUGUGCGUAAGUUUUUACGUACAUUUUCAACUUACGUAAAUAAUACGAAUUGCGUACGUGCGUUUUACUAAAAUUUCGUAAGUGUAAAUAUUUGCGUAGGAAUAAAUAAUGCGUAACUCUCCGAUUGGAGGUAGAAAUCUCUCUUGGCGCGCACCUGUCAAAAAGAUAAACAAUGGCGACGCCGCAAAAGUUUAAAAGGAAAGAGAAUUGGUCCAGAGCAGAGCAUGAAAUGCUGAGGUAUUCAUUCCUUGAUGAAAGCCAUGCCAUUGAAAGCAAGUCCAACCAUUACUCAUGUCGAUGAAGAAAAAUCGUGGAAGAGGAAUGAAAAGAGACUGAAUGCCCAGGGUGUCUGCAUUAGAACUCUUGAUGAGUUUAAUAAGAAAUUAACCAACAUCAAGAUGGACGUGAAGAGGAGGCGUCAGAUGGCAGCGCUGACAGGUGGUGUGACUCCGUAUCUGUUCUGAUACAUAGAAGGGCCACUUCUGGCCUAUAUAUCUACGGGGUGACUCCUCCAAAGUUCAAUGAGCAGGAGGAGAAGAAACAAGUCCAUCAUCUUUGGUGCUGCACCAUACUGCCAAAACAGCUACAUGUUCAUCGUUUGCAGUUAUGUCAAUUUACCUCCAACAUAGUGUUUCCUGCAAUGUCCCAGGGGGCUGCCAUGAUUCCAAAAAGUACAACACCAACUGCAGCAAAAGUGACAAGAGUUUCCAAGAUUCCAUCUACAAGCAACUUGAAAAGACUUCUUAAAUGCCAGAGUGAGCUCUAUGAGCAAAUAUUACAUCAACAAAAACUGACAAUUGACUGUCUCCUUUAUUACAAUUUAUUUCAUGAAUGAUAACUUAAAUAAAAUGUGACUCAGCAACUGUUUUAAAUCAACAAACAUUCUAACAUAAACCUUUGAAGUCUUAUAGUAGAAUCAUAUACCUGGAAGUCUUUGAUUAUUUUAUCUACUUAAAAAACUCACAAUCCACUUAAAUAUUGCUGACACUUGAAGCUUUUCAUAUUUUAUUCACUAUUGCAUUUAAUAAAUCUUUAUUUACCUGUCAACCUAUUCAUAUUCAAGUAAUCUAAUAUUAAAAUACAUAUGGAAAAGCACUUUCAUUUAAAGUGACAUCUAUCAAACAUUGUAAUCACAAAAAAGGGGCUCAUAAUCAUACAUUUUAUGAUAUGGUAUUUUUUUACCAAUAGCUGAAUGUGUAAAUUGGUUAUUGUUUAGAGAGAUAAUAUGUCAAUUUAUUUGUUUUGUAAAUGUGUUUUUAAAUUGUUAUUUAUACUGUCAACACUAUUUUAACAUAUUUAUGAUUGUCAGCCUUCAUGUACUGUUUUGUUCAUUGUUAUAAUCAUCUUCUCCAUAAGUAAUGUCAGUGAUUAUCAAAAUGAUACCGCAUCAAAUUCAUGUAUAAUCAUUUUUAAAGGGACUUGUUCAUGUUUUAUAUGGUUAGACAUUGAUUUUUUUAUUUCCUAUGAAAUGUGAACAAAAUGCUUGUAGCAAUGAUAAAACACUACAAAAGUUUAAAUAAGCUCAGAAAAUAUGGCAUAAAAUGCUUUAUUUUGCCAAAGUCAGGCUAUU